This 653-nucleotide ribosomal RNA is filed under the name Clavulina aff. cinerea AR09735. Its description in RNAcentral is "eukaryotic LSU rRNA". The stretch from base 220 to 373 matches the Rfam family "5.8S ribosomal RNA". The record is from RNAcentral. Lineage: Eukaryota; Fungi; Basidiomycota; Agaricomycetes; Cantharellales; Hydnaceae.
AAGGAUCAUUAAUGAGUUGUGAUGGGGUUUGAUGCUGGCAGCCAAUUUUUGGAUGCAUGUGCUUGCCCUAACAAUCAUCUUCCAAACACCUGUGCACAUUUUUGAGGGAGUUUCGAGUUUUAUUGCCGUUUUUGGUGAUUUUCUUGCAUUCCCUUAAAUUAUUAUACGCUGUUAACAAUGAUGAACGUGCUCUGUGCCGCAAGGCCAUUAAUAUAAUACAACUUUUAACAACGGAUCUCUUGGCUCUCGCAUCGAUGAAGAACGCAGCGAAAUGCGAUAAGUAAUGUGAAUUGCAGAAUUCAGUGAAUCAUCGAAUCUUUGAACGCACCUUGCGCUCCCUGGUAUUCCGGGGAGCANGCCUGUUCGAGUGUCGCGAAAUUUCUCAAGCUUGGAUGGCUUUUUUGUCUGUCCUUAGCCUUGGUUGUUGGGCUUUGCCGUGUCCUUUGUUGGGANGGCUGGCCUUAAAAGCAUUAGCUGAUCCUCGUGUGGCACUGGUUCUACUCAGCGUGAUAACAGUCUGAUCGCUGAGGACAUCUUUUGGGAUGGCCAGUUCUCAUUUGGGUUGCUUCCAAACUUGGUUUUGCAGAUUCUUCAAUCUGUGUUCCACUUUCAGCUUUGACCUCGAAUCAGGUGGGACUACCCGCUGAACUUAA